Molecule: long non-coding RNA, 371 nt
Filed under: Brassica napus (rape)
Lineage: Eukaryota; Viridiplantae; Streptophyta; Magnoliopsida; Brassicales; Brassicaceae
Description: long non-coding RNA (BNAP_LNC001050)
Source: RNAcentral
AAUUUUUCUUUUAUUUUAAUAAAUCAUUAAUUUACACGCAAUUAAUUUACGUAUGCUACAGCAUGCUGGAACAGCUCGAACAAUGUUUCUACCACGCAGGUGGUGCAGCUCCAGCCGCAGGUGCAGCAGGAGCAGCAGCAGGUGCAGCAGGAGCAGCAGCAGGUGCCGCAGGUGCAGGAGCAGCAGCAGGUGCCGCAGGUGCAGCUUCAGCAACAGGUGCAGCAGGAGCAGCAGCAGGUGCAGCAGCCGCUGGUAAUGGGAUUGUUCCAGAAAAAGUUCGACUACCCCAAGUCACAGUCCAUUUAAUUCCACCUCCCGAUUUAUUAUCGAAUGUUCCAGUAUAUGUUUUUCCUAACACCGAUCCCUCGAAU